AUGGAGCUGGAUUCUAAACAGAAAGUCUCCGCUGACUGUGUUCUUCAAGCUGCAAAGACACAUCAAGAUUCAAUGAUUUUUGAAAACCAUGGAAGCAGAGGUACUGCCCAGCCUUGCCCAAGAUGUAUUGCUGGAGAAUCUGGACACUUCAACCAUAUUCUGGGCUUCUAGAAAUUGAGAGAUGGCAAAUCAGCAACACUCUUUGCAUUCUAAGGAUGCACAUGUGAACACUGUACUGCUGGAUAUCUGUACCUCCAUUCUACUACUGGCGUGGAUUUGUGUGUGUUAUUAAGCAUAUAGCAGUUUGCUGUAUGCGUUACUCUUUCAUUGCACUGUUCUGUAUAUCGUUGUUUUUACACUUGAAAAAUACUUCUGCUUUUAAGAUAGCUCAGUAUGUGGGGAAAAAGUGACGCUAAGCUUGGUUUAACUUUUUAGAAUAGUUUAGUUGAUUUGGCUUUUGGCCCAGUCUUUACCUGGGACUGGGCCAAAGGCAGUGUUGAUACAAGACACUUUCCUGUCUCUCUUACGUGCUUUCCCUGAUAGAUCUGGGGAGUGAUCCUUGCGUUUACAUGGAUACAGGGCCUGCAGUUGAACCUGAGCUGUACAUAAGCAGGCAGAAAUGGGAGGACUCUCUUCAGUUUCACAGAGAGACCUGUGCAGCUUUGCACCUGUACAAAGGACAGUUAAAGUCCUAUUGAAGCCUACGCUUUUUGAAAUUAAAAUAUGCAUCCAAUUCAGGUAUCUUAUAUGUUAAACUUUUAUUUUUUUUAACAAACGCAGUGCGUGAAUGUGGCGGGUAAGCAGUUAAUAGAAGAAGCAAGAUUAUUUGAACAACACUCUGUAAUGCAAAUGAACGGUGAUUCAGCUCUAUGCGAUGUUCUCAAAGCUGUUAAAG
RNAcentral lists this long non-coding RNA (895 nucleotides) under Dromaius novaehollandiae (emu). RNAcentral describes it as "lncRNA (ENSDNVG00000004274.1)". The record is from RNAcentral. Lineage: Eukaryota; Metazoa; Chordata; Aves; Casuariiformes; Dromaiidae.